Molecule: unclassified non-coding RNA, 233 nt
Filed under: Hevea brasiliensis (rubber tree)
Lineage: Eukaryota; Viridiplantae; Streptophyta; Magnoliopsida; Malpighiales; Euphorbiaceae
Source: RNAcentral
CAGAUGAUGAUCGGAAUGUUGUAAGUGACACCCUGAAACGGCAUGGGGAUGGUGCCGUCGGCUUGAAGGAGGUUGACCGAGCGACCAUCGUUGUGGGUGAAAGUAGCGGUUUUGGGUUCGAGAGAAGGGUAGUUGGCGAUGAGGGAGAGAAGGUGCUGACGGAUUAGCCAUUUGGUGUCUUCGGUGUAAGGGAGGGAGGAGGGACCGCGUUGAGAGAGGACUGAGGAGAGGAA